Brassica napus (rape) is the source of this 2157-nucleotide long non-coding RNA. RefSeq lists it as uncharacterized. The transcript is spliced from 6 exons. Lineage: Eukaryota; Viridiplantae; Streptophyta; Magnoliopsida; Brassicales; Brassicaceae. The record is from RefSeq and is a predicted model, not a curated record.
ACAGGCAGCGAGUGGGCUUAAAAGUUGAGAUCUGUUUGAUGUAAGCUCUUUUCUCAUUAUCACACAAGUAAACGACGACAAAAGAAACAUCGUCAUCUCCGUACCGCUUCGUCUUCUCCGAUUAGAUUCCAUAGAAACUGAUCCCCCUCUACACAAUCAAUCCCAUCCUUUAGUUCGAGCAAUUAAUUUCGUCUUGAUGAUUUCGUUCCAGCUCCCUUUGUUCCUCCUUUAUAUACCGAUCUAUUUUCAAGAACGAAUUGUAAUCGUUGUUUGAAAAAAAAAUCAUUGGGAAAGCCUUCCUCAAUUUUUGGUUGUGGUGAAGCCUUUUUAGUGAAAGGUUUGCACUGUUUUCCAAUUUAUAUUUUGUGACUUAAAGAAUUAUGGCUUCCAAUCUCCCGGCCCUCGAUUGGAACAUGUUCAUGGCGAUGUACAUGACCAUUUGCAAGCCCUCACGAAUGGUUUCCAGAGGUUGGAGUUACUAUACAACAAUUUCUCGAACAAAAAACAGCUCACUGGAGUAGAAGAAUGCGGAUACUAAAUGCCAGUGUAGCCACAGGUAAUCUCCACUGGAAAAUAGUCAUGUUUACAUCAACAAGAUGAAUCAGGGUAAAAAGAGAAAUCAGAAACAGAACUAUAGCUGAUAUAAAAACACAUUCGUUAUGACAACAGUGAUGAUAAUGAAGUUAUGGGAUCCACAUUCGUCUUUUACUCGAGCAUCCUCUUUGAGAAACGCCAAAUGAAAGACUGUAAAAGGAUCAUCUAUAUAAUGUACACACAUGUUGGUGACUAAGUUUGCAACAUCUUAGGAACAAUGAAAUAGCCGGUGAGGAGAUUCGUUUAUGAAAAUUUGAUUCUCACUUAAUGUAUGUUCCCCAUGAUUAUAGAUAAAUAAGCGACAUUAAUGAGCUCUCAAGUAUCUUAUAGAUUUCCAGUGGAAAAAGGUUGAAGAACCAAAAGAGUUCACACUUGAGCUGUUCUUUGAGGCUUAUUGCACUGAAGAACAAUGAGAUUGCCGGUCUGGAGGUUCGUUAUUAGGAUAUGUUCUUAAAGAAAAUGUUACUCUCUUUCUAGAUGGAUUUCCAAUGAUUAUACUAAAUAUAAGCAAGAUGAAUGAACUCGCAAGUAUCUCAAAGAUAUCAAAUUGAAUAGGUUUAAAGAACCAAAAAGAUUCACGCUUGAUCUUUUCUUUGAUUAGAACCCUUACUACCAUAACACUGUCUUCACCAAGACAUCUCACAUGAUUGAUAAAGAUAAUCUUAUCCUCGAGAUGGCCAUUGGGUAUGAUCUUUUCCUCUUACGAUGUAUUUAUUGUUUUUAUUUCUUGAGGCCAAGUGUUAUUGAUCCAUACCUUUUGUAUCUUAUAUGAUAUAUGUAAAAAAUCGAUUGUCUACUUAUAAAACAGGUCCAGGAGUAACAAGAGAAGCUGGAGUAUGAUGAAAGGAAGCCAAAAGGAAAGGAGAGAUUCAUCACGAGUGUGUUGUAUAUAUACCCUAUGUGUCUCAGUUUUUUCGCCAGACCAAUAGUGACUGAAUUUAUUGUCAUUCGUGAUAAUGACCAACAGAUAAAAGAAAAUAAUGACCUCUCCAACAACAGGUUCUCAUAAAUUUGUUUGGAGGACAAUAGCAUUCCGUUGGUUUGGCCAAUUUCAACUAAACUUUUUCUCUAUAAUAAAAUCAUUCAGUUUGGAAUGAAAACCUUUUAGUUAUCUGCUUAUCUAAAUCAGCUUAACCAUUUUUCUACGUAAUAGUCUAGCAAGAGAUUUUUUUUUGGUCAAACUAAUGAAAAAUAUAUUUGUAUCAAACCAAGAUUGCAUACUAUAUAAAUUAAGUUAGACUGGUAAAUUUGAUAAUGAAAAAAAAUUAGUUACAUAACCUACAUAAUCAAGAAUAAAAAUAUAUAUAGAUCAAAAUAUUGAGUACUUCAGACUCAUACUAUCAACUCGAAAUUAUUUAAUAAAAUACACAGCAAACUAUGAAUUCUAACAUUUUAAAUUUAUUAGGCAGAAAACAAUUAACAAAAUAGUUUUAAAUUUGUAUACUAACUUAUUUUUAUAAUCAAUUACAAUAUAUAUAUAUAUAUAUAUAUAUAUAUAUAUAAACGUAAUUAUUUGUGUUUGUCUGUAAUUAACUAAAAAGUAAAAAAUAAUAAUUAAAAUUA